UGGGGAAUAUUGCACAAUGGAGGAAACUCUGAUGCAGCGACGCCGCGUGAGUGAAGAAGGUCUUCGGAUCGUAAAACUCUGUCCUUGGUGACGAAAAAAAUGACGGUAGCCAAGGAGGAAGCCCCGGCUAACUACGUGCAGCAGCCGCGGUAAUACGUAGGGGGCGAGCGUUGUCCGGAUUUACUGGGCGUAAAGGGUGAGUAGGCGGUAAUAUGUGUCAGAUGUAAAAGGCUAUGGCUUAACCAUAGUUAGCAUUUGAAACUGUAUUACUUGAGUGCAGGAGAGGUAAGUGGAAUUCCUAGUGUAGCGGUGAAAUGCGUAGAUAUUAGGAGGAACACCAGUGGCGAAGGCGACUUACUGGACUGUAACUGACGCUGAGUCACGAAAGCGUGGGUAGCAAACA
RNAcentral lists this ribosomal RNA (403 nucleotides) under uncultured bacterium. Its description in RNAcentral is "bacterial SSU rRNA". It matches the Rfam family "Bacterial small subunit ribosomal RNA", at positions 355 to 774 of the family's 1533-position model. The record is from RNAcentral.